UACGUAGGGUGCAAGCGUUGUCCGGAUUUAUUGGGCGUAAAGAGCUCGUAGGCGGCCAUGUAGGUCCGUUGUGAAAACUCGAGGCUCAACCUCGAGACGCCGAUGGAAACCAUGUGGCUAGAGUCCGGAAGAGGAGAGUGGAAUUCCUGGUGUAGCGGUGAAAUGCGCAGAUAUCAGGAAGAACACCCGUGGCUAAGGCGGCUCUCUAGUACGGUACUGACGCUGAGACGCGAAAGCGUGGGGAGCAAACAGG
This 253-nucleotide ribosomal RNA is filed under the name uncultured bacterium. Its description in RNAcentral is "partial 16S ribosomal RNA". It matches the Rfam family "Bacterial small subunit ribosomal RNA", at positions 524 to 776 of the family's 1533-position model. The record is from RNAcentral.